AUUGAACGCUGGCGGCAUGCCUUACACAUGCAAGUCGAACGGUAACAGGUCUUCGGAUGCUGACGAGUGGCGAACGGGUGAGUAAUACAUCGGAACGUGCCUAGUAGUGGGGGAUAACUACUCGAAAGAGUGGCUAAUACCGCAUGAGAUCUACGGAUGAAAGCAGGGGAUCGCAAGACCUUGUGCUACUAGAGCGGCCGAUGGCAGAUUAGGUAGUUGGUGGGAUAAAAGCUUACCAAGCCGACGAUCUGUAGCUGGUCUGAGAGGACGAUCAGCCACACUGGGACUGAGACACGGCCCAGACUCCUACGGGAGGCAGCAGUGGGGAAUUUUGGACAAUGGGCGAAAGCCUGAUCCAGCAAUGCCGCGUGCAGGAUGAAGGCCUUCGGGUUGUAAACUGCUUUUGUACGGAACGAAAAGCCCCGGGUUAAUACCCUGGGGUCAUGACGGUACCGUAAGAAUAAGCACCGGCUAAUUACGUGCCAGCAGCCGCGGUAA
Molecule: ribosomal RNA, 498 nt
Filed under: uncultured bacterium
Lineage: Bacteria
Description: partial 16S ribosomal RNA
Rfam family: Bacterial small subunit ribosomal RNA
Source: RNAcentral